UGAGGAAUAUUGGUCAAUGGGCGAGAGCCUGAACCAGCCAAGUAGCGUGCGGGAUGAAGGCCCUUGUGGUCGUAAACCGCUUUUAUCAGUGAAUAAAGUGCAUCACGUGUGGUGUCAUUGCAGGUAGCUGAAGAAAAAGGACCGGCUAAUUCCGUGCCAGCAGCCGCGGUAAUACGGAAGGUCCGGGCGUUAUCCGGAAUUAUUGGGUUUAAAGGGAGCGCAGGCGGGAGUAUAAGUCAGCUGUUAAAUAUCAGAGCCCAACUCUGUUAUGCAGUUGAAACUAUAUUUCUUGAGUACGCACAGGGAUGGCGGAAUUCAGGGUGUAGCGGUGAAAUGCUUAGAUAUCCUGAAGAACUCCGAUCGCGAAGGCAGCCAUCCGGAGCGUAACUGACGCUGAGGCUCGAAGGUGCGGGUAUCGAACAGGAUUAGAUACCCUGGUAGUCCGCACGGUAAACGAUGAAUACUCGCAGUUCGGUCAUUAUGAUUGAGUUGUCCAGCGAAAGCGUUAAGUAUUCCACCUGGGGAGUACGCCGGCCGGU
RNAcentral lists this ribosomal RNA (539 nucleotides) under uncultured bacterium. Its description in RNAcentral is "bacterial SSU rRNA". It matches the Rfam family "Bacterial small subunit ribosomal RNA", at positions 355 to 895 of the family's 1533-position model. The record is from RNAcentral.